GGCAGGGCAGCCCAGGCCAUUAGGGUGACGUUUUCCUCCAUGUCAGUGCAGGGUAGGAAGAUCAAGAUCUCUCUCAGUGACCAAGGGAGAAGAACUUUUGGUCCACGUGCGUGUCUUGCAGUGGGGGAUCCCAAAUGAAGCCCCGUGUCCUGCAGCUCCUGGAAAUGCCACAUCAGAAACAUUCCUGCUACUGGGAAAAACACUUUGAAGACCAGGAAAACUGCAGACUUCAGUUGUUCUUUGUGGCUUCUGCAAUUUUUUCCUGGUGAGGUACAUUGCACGGAAAACCGUCGUGCCCGAUGUGGUCAGCAUUCUUAUUUACCAUAAGCAGAGCAGUUACACAUUGUUAAAUUAUUAUUAGCUUAGCUACCACUGGGAGGGUUGCCUCAGCCCUGCCAGCAGGGCUGAAACAAAUACCCACUGUUGCACACAGUCAACCAGCAAUGAGUUGCAUGGAUGCCCAGAACGUGUCUUGCUGCACGGCUGUCCCCCCAGGCAGCAGCCCUUGAGGAACACAGGCUGAGCUGGGAUCUCUUGCAAUGGGAUGGGUUGAACGUGUGGAUGCUUUGGAGCUGAAUCUGAAUGUUCUCAGUGUGAGCCUUCGUUCACCCGUUGUGUCAGCCCAUCCAAAGCUGAAGAAUUCACUGCCAAAGGAAAUCUGGAGCUAAAUUCUCAAUUCCAAGCUCUGACGCUGGCAAUAUUUGCACCAAGAAACCUGACAAAAUUCAGGAAGUUUUUUAUGGCCGAUUCUUUCUGCCUGGAUAGAGCUCGUGCCAACAACAAUAUCAGCUCUGUGAAAGAAUUUUAUGGUGUUUUGCUGUGCCUGUGCCAUGGGAAAAAGGGGCAAGGAUGGACUUUACGGGGUGUUUGUAGAAGGACGAAGCACAUCGUCCUCACCCAAAGGGCAGCCAUCAAAGCAAAGCUGUGGCAGCAGGCAGUUCUUCUGCUCAGCCUGAACGUGCAGGGAGCAUCCCAUGGCUGGGAGGUGACUGCAGCCUCCACAGCACUGCUGUAGGCAGACAGCUGAGACGUGGCAUUCUGCACAAACCAGUGGCUGACUCCAGGCUGGGCCGCGUCCCCCAUCCCAGCACCUCAACACUGACCCCCCCAGGAUUGCUCAGCAAUUAACUGUGUGCUCCAUGGGUGAAAUGCGUGAAGUCUUGUGACAGCCACCUCGUCCCACAAGGCAGGGGGUGCUGAGAAAGACAAAACAACCCGCUCCCUCUCCUCUCUCAUUAAAGCAAAUGUCAUCGGCUGUGAUCAGCCUCUGUGUACAUGCACACAGCCAGCAGGAGAAAAUCAAACAUCAAAAGGGAAAGAAAAGAAAAAGAGACCCGAACAGGAUAUUGACAUCAUUGGGAGCUCUGCGAAUGGAGAUGAAAUGUAAAAUGAAGUUGCAAUCUGGCUGAUAGAAGUUGAGGACACGUUAACCCUUGGGCAGACCCGCUGCUUGCAGGGGUGGGAGGAGAGCUGCUUCCAUGGGCACCUGGGCUGCGAUUUGCUCUGGAAUGUGGGAGGAAUCUGACACCCAAAUUGCUUGGGAAGUUGGACACGUCCUGCCAUGGGCUGCUCGGGAAUUGCCAGUUCUCAUUAAUCUCUGCUGUGGAUCUGACAAGUCAGCUGGAGGGAAAUGGUUCAUUUCAUUUUCUUCUCAUCGAGAUUUUCCCACCGCUCUUUCCCUCCCCGUCUGUCCCACUGAUGAGGCAAGAAAAGGAUGACAAAGCAGAAAGCGAGGGAAGAUGCAGGGUGAACGUUUCCGCCGGGAUGUUUAAUGAUGAGAAAGGAAAGAAAGCACCAAAAGAAGUUCCUGACGGAAAAUUCCUCACAGCUUUCAUGUCGCAGCCCCUGACCUUCAGCUGCCCAUAAACACCCUGCAGCCACCCCCAGCACGUUCCCAGCAGCCCGGUGGGGCUCUGCAUUGAGCCACCCUUCCACCAGCAAAGCUCAGACUGGGAAUUCAAACCCCAAAUCUGGCUGUGGGGUGCCAGCAGCCAAACACAGCCUGGUUCAGCACCCCGUGCUCUGGUACCCCAAGGGGCCAUCAUUCACCACCACAUGUGAUGUGUGGUGUGGGCACACACCUUCAGAAACCCUCAAAACCAAAUAAGAUAUCACUGUCGAUAGGAG
RNAcentral lists this long non-coding RNA (2127 nucleotides) under Gallus gallus (chicken). RNAcentral describes it as "long non-coding RNA NONGGAT003144". Lineage: Eukaryota; Metazoa; Chordata; Aves; Galliformes; Phasianidae. The record is from RNAcentral.